AAACCCCCAAAAUCAAACUACGCGGCAAACUGGAACAAAAAAUAUGGAGGGGAGUUCCGGCGCCGCUUCCGACGCCGCAAUCGAAACCCUAAGAACCAGAGGAUGGUGCUUCGGCGACUUCGAACAAGUGGAGGAGAAGAUCCUGAUCCACCCCGCCUUGUCCUACGACACGCGUACGGUGGUGAACUCAGUGGAAGCCGAGCUCACCAACAUGAACCUUAAAUCCAUCUCCGCCCAUGCCCGACCCGCAUACGCUCCUAAGGUCCUCUCACCUCCUCGGCCCCAAAGUCCUCCAGGUAAAUCACAAAAUAGAUAAAGAGAAAGAAAAAUGUGGCUUUCCUUUGUGUUUUGUUAUCAAAUGGCUUGGGUAAGGGACGUUGCUAAAAGCAGUAUGGAGGAUUUUUCGAGGAAUUUGAGUCGUCGGCGGCUUUUGAUGCCUGACGAUCCCUGACGACGGCCACAGCUGUGGAGUACUCUCAUACCCCGGCAAUCCCUGACCACGUCGUUCCUGAAACUAAGGUACUUUCUGCUUCUUGAUGCCUGCUCAAUACUCAUCUGGUGUUUUAUAUUGAAUAAGCUAGAGAUUUAUUUGAUUGUCACUUUUUGGAUUUUGUAUAUGUUCAGUUUAGUAUUCAAACUGGUACGAAAUUGAGCUAGAUUAUGGAAAACAACGGAAACUCACACUUUCGUAGAACUUAGUGAUGAACACUGUGUGCUCCGUCUUCGUUUAUGCAAUCUUGAAGUGAAUCCACAUCCAGUAGGAAAAUUAAUAAUUUCGUUUAUUUUGUAUCCCAUAUGGGACAUUAGCUCAACACUGCACUGGAAGACCCCGACAAAGUUUUUAAUUUUGACAAUUAUUAUGAGUACUUUUUUCAUGAAACUCAAAAUGAAUUUCACAAGAAGUUUUAUGGGUCUCUCUAGUCCCACUUUCUUAAGUGAUUCAGGGAAAACAGGUGCAUAGAUAAAGGUCGCAUUUUGAGUUAACUGAACAUCUUUUGUUUGUCCUACUUUUUGAUCGGGAGGUCUGUUUGGAAGGUAAAGUUACUGUACGUAACGGAAUAGUUUGUUUGAGUCCUAAAGUUGUGACUGUGUUGGGAGGUGUUGUUCAAUCACUUUACGAAGAAUGGCAGAUGAAUACAAAAUAUUCCGAGUUUUCACGUUCAUCUUUAAGGAUUUCACAGGAAAGUGAUGGUAACGGCCCCUCUCCAUUUGAGAAGUUGCAAGUUGGGGCAGCUAAAAGUCGGUUUCCUGAGCAGGACAAGUUUUCACAUUACUCUGAUGUUAGCUCCAAGAGUAGUGAGCCUAUUGCCAGAAUUACUGAGGGUAGACCAGUUGGAAGACAGUGGAAUCUUCAAUUGAAAGCAAAUGAUGAGGAUAAAUUUUAUAAAAAAAGUGAGACAGGUAACACUCGUAAGGCAGAUUCCUUUGAUGAAAGAACUCAAGAUAAAAGAAGGUGGAUUUUCAUUCGUGUCCAAAUUGUAGCUUUUUAUUAAAUUUUACUAUUAUCCUAUGCUGCAUCCGGGUUUUGUGUAGUUUUAAGCUUAAUUUAAAAAAAAAGUGAGACAGAUAACACUCGUAAGGCAGAUUCUCUUGAUGAAGAACCCAAGACAAAAGAAGGUGGAUUUUCAUUUGUGUCCAACUUGUAGCUUGUUAUUAAAUUUUACUAUUAUCCUAUGCGGCAUCCGGGUUUUGUGUAGUAUUAAGCUUAAUUUUAUGUCAUCUAGUUGUGGGGAAGGGGUCGAGAAGAGACUGGUGUUUUUACACUUCGAUUUGUUCACUAAUUAUUUCCAGUGGUGCGUAUAUAGUUGUAGAUGGGGCAGGUGUAAGGUGGCAGAAUCAAACUUGAAUCAUUUGAAUGGAGGGAAAACCAAAUUUCUGCUAAGUUUUGUCUGUAUCAACAUCGACAAUCAUGUAAAAUGGAAUUAUACUUGAAUCAUACAAGAAACACAUUUAGUUAACUUAUAUAUUAUAAAUGUUCUACAUUUUUUACUUUGUAAUUUAAUGCUGAUGUAUUAUGGCUUCCACAAAAAUUGAAGCUGUCCCUGUUCAAAACCAAGCAGCCGCACAAAAGCUUCUUAAAAAAAUGAGUCAUCAAAACCGGGAUGACAUGCAUUCAAGAGGCAGACAGUUUGGGGGAAAGAGGAGGAUUACUUGACUUUUGUCAUUUCUUUUAUUCUCAUCAUGCUUUACUCUAUUAGAAGGGCACAACAUGGGCUGGGGUUUGAUCUUAACAGAAACAGCUCUACGAUGUUACAAACAACUUCCGUCUGCAGUUUUGGAGAAUCCAACAAGACUAUUUUUUGAUCGUGCAAACGAGUUCAUCAACUUCAAAGGUAGUAGAAAGGUAAUAGAUCUUCUACUAAAAUGUAGAGUCAAUUUUCUGCUAACAUGUCAGGGCAAGUCCAGAUUAAUGAAAACGUAGUAGAAACUAUAAAUUGACUGGCAUCUUGAGGCUGUCAUUGAUUUUCUGGAAUAUGUGGUGGAAGCAGGGCAAGUAUUUGUGCGCAUUC
Molecule: non-coding RNA, 2510 nt
Organism: Malus domestica (apple)
Lineage: Eukaryota; Viridiplantae; Streptophyta; Magnoliopsida; Rosales; Rosaceae
Source: RefSeq, a predicted model, not a curated record